GGACUACAGGGGUAUCUAAUCCUGUUUGCUCCCCUAGCCUUCGCGCCUCAGCGUCAGUUUCAGCCCAGAUAGCCGCCUUCGCCACUGGUGUUCCUCCCGAUAUCUACGCAUUUCACCACUACACCGGGAAUUCCGCUAUCCUCUGCUGUACUCUAGUCUACCAGUUUCAAAUGACCCCUCCCGGUUAAGCCGGGAUAUUUCACAUCUGACUUGAUAGACCGCCUGCGCGCUCUUUACGCCCAAUAAUUCCGGACAACGCUUGCAUCCUACGUAUUACCGCGGCUGCUGGCAC
This 292-nucleotide ribosomal RNA is filed under the name uncultured bacterium. RNAcentral's name for it is "partial 16S ribosomal RNA". The record is from RNAcentral.